UAAUAGCCAGCCUGGUUGCUGUAGCCACAGAGGAAUUUUCAAGGACAAGAACCAGUGCUGGUAAAACUGUGGUCUCGUGUGGUUUUCCAUAGCGGCUCUCGGCAAGGAUUUUCAAGAAAGGAAUACCAUCUCCAAAUCAUGAUGUGCCAAUAAGCUCCAGUUAGCUGCGGCCUUUUCCCCAGGUGGUAGUCCUGCAAUCUGAAUCCAGGAGAUGCAGCUCUGAAUCCAAUAUUUCAGAAGAAUGAAGAUGAAGCAGACCCAGGAGGAACUGUCUGUUGAAGAACCCCCCCCCCCCCCAGCCACCAAGCUGCCCACCAGAGGCCAAGCUGUACUUGGUGUUUGCCAACAUGCUGUAAUUUCCAGCCUGGUUGCUGUAGCCACAGAGGAAUUUUCAAGGACAAGAACCAGUGCUGGUAAAACUGUGGUCUCGUGUGGUUUUCCAUACCGGCUCUCGGCAAGGAUUUUCAAGAAAGGAAUACCAUCUCCAAAUCAUGAUGUGCCAAUAAGCUCCAGUUAGCUGCGGCCUUUUCCCCAGGUGGUAGUCCUGCAAUCUGAAUCCAGGAGAUGCAGCUCUGAAUCCAAUAUUUCAGAAGAAUGAAGAUGAAGCAGACCCAGGAGGAACUGUCUGUUGAAGAACCCCCCCCCCCCCCCCACCAAGCUGCCCACCAGAGGCCAAGCUGUACUUGGUGUUUGCCAACAUGCUGUAAUUUCCAGCCUGGUUGCUGUAGCCACAGAGGAAUUUUCAAGGACAAGAACCAGUGCUGGUAAAACUGUGGUCUCGUGUGGUUUUCCAUACCGGCUCUCGGCAAGGAUUUUCAAGAAAGGAAUACCAUCUCCAAAUCAUGAUGUGCCAAUAAGCUCCAGUUAGCUGCGGCCUUUUCCCCAGGUGGUAGUCCUGCAAUCUGAAUCCAGGAGAUGCAGCUCUGAAUCCAAUAUUUCAGAAGAAUGAAGAUGAAGCAGACCCAGGAGGAACUGUCUGUUGAAGAACCCACCCCCCCACCAAGCUGCCCACCAGAGGCCAAGCUGUACUUGGUGUUUGC
Molecule: long non-coding RNA, 1040 nt
Organism: Mya arenaria
Lineage: Eukaryota; Metazoa; Mollusca; Bivalvia; Myida; Myidae
Exons: 9
Source: RefSeq, a predicted model, not a curated record